GCCGGGCGUGGUGGCGCGCGCCUGUAGUCCCAGCUACUCGGGAGGCUGAGGUGGGAGGAUCGCUUGAGUCCAGGAGUUCUGGGCUGCAGUGCGCUAUGCCGAUCGGGUGUCCGCACUAAGUUCGGCAUCAAUAUGGUGACCUCCCGGGAGCGGGGGACCACCAGGUUGCCUAAGGAGGGGUGAACCGGCCCAGGUCGGAAACGGAGCAGGUCAAAACUCCCGUGCUGAUCAGUAGUGGGAUCGCGCCUGUGAAUAGCCACUGCACUCCAGCCUGGGCAAUAUAGUGAGUCCCUGUCUCU
Cavia aperea (Brazilian guinea pig) is the source of this 299-nucleotide unclassified non-coding RNA. It matches the Rfam family "Metazoan signal recognition particle RNA". From Rfam's summary of the family: The signal recognition particle (SRP) is a universally conserved ribonucleoprotein. It is involved in the co-translational targeting of proteins to membranes. The record is from Ensembl. Lineage: Eukaryota; Metazoa; Chordata; Mammalia; Rodentia; Caviidae.